This 493-nucleotide ribosomal RNA is filed under the name Melanargia titea. Its description in RNAcentral is "partial 16S ribosomal RNA". The record is from RNAcentral. Lineage: Eukaryota; Metazoa; Arthropoda; Insecta; Lepidoptera; Nymphalidae.
AUUUAAAGUCUAAUCUGCCCACUGAUAAAAAAUUAAAGGGCUGCAGUAUAAUGACUGUACAAAGGUAGCAUAAUCAAUAGUUUUUUAAUUGAAAACUUGUAUGAAAGAUUUGAUGAAAUAUGGACUGUCUCUAAUUUAUAAAUUGAAUUUUAUUUUUUAGUAAAAAAGCUAAAAUAAAUUUAAAAGACGAGAAGACCCUAUAGAGUUUUAUAUUUAAUUUUAUUUUAAAAUUAUAUAAAAAUUAAUAUUAAAAAUAAAAUUAAAUAUUAUAUUGGGGUGAUAGAAAAAUUAAAUUAACUUUUUUUAAAAAUUAAACAUAAAUAAAUGAUUAUAUGAUCCAUAGAUAAUGAUUAUAAGAAAAAAUUACCUUAGGGAUAACAGCGUAAUAUUUUUUUUUAGUUCAAAUAAAAAAAAAAGUUUGCGACCUCGAUGUUGGAUUAAGAUAAAAUUUAAAUGCAAAAGUUUAAAAUUUUGAUCUGUUCGAUCAUUAAAA